CCCUAUGGGGUGCAGCAGGCGAGAAAACUUUGCAAUGUGCGAAAGCACGACAAGGUUAAUCCGAGUGGUUUGUGCUAAACGAACCUUUUGUCGGUCCUAGAAACACCGAUGAAUAAGGGGUGGGCAAGUUCUGGUGUCAGCCGCCGCGGUAAAACCAGCACCUCAAGUGGUCAGGAUGAUUAUUGGGCCUAAAGCAUCCGUAGCCGGCUCUGUAAGUUUUCGGUUAAAUCUGUACGCUCAACGUACAGGCUGCCGGGAAUACUGCAGAGCUAGGGAGUGGGAGAGGUAGACGGUACUCGGUAGGAAGGGGUAAAAUCCUUUGAUCUAUUGAUGACCACCUGUGGCGAAGGCGGUCUACCAGAACACGUCCGACGGUGAGGGAUGAAAGCUGGGGGAGCAAACCGGAUUAGAUACCCGGGUAGUCCCAGCUGUAAACUAUGCAAACUCAGUGAUGCAUUGGCUUGUGGCCAAUGCAGUGCUGCAGGGAAGCCGUUAAGUUUGCCGCCUGGGAAGUACGUACGCAAGUAUGAAACUUAAAGGAAUUGGCGGGGGAGCACCACAAGGGGUGAAGCCUGCGGUUCAAUUGGAGUCAACGCCAGAAAUCUUACCCGGAGAGACAGCAGAAUGAAGGUCAAGCUGAAGACUUUACCAGACAAGCUGAGAAGUAGUGCAUGGCC
This 677-nucleotide ribosomal RNA is filed under the name uncultured archaeon. Its description in RNAcentral is "bacterial SSU rRNA". It matches the Rfam family "Archaeal small subunit ribosomal RNA", at positions 321 to 999 of the family's 1478-position model. The record is from RNAcentral.